ACCUCCUUUCAAGGAACUGUUCUGAGGUUUGGUUGGGUAACUGAUCAUUCUUGGAAUGUUUCGAAAAAUAAAGUCCUUUGGUUAUGGAUCACCGAAGGCACGUUCUGUCAGAUUUCUGUUCUGGUUUUACCAGACGGGAGCGCCGUCAACAUAUCCCUUUCUGCGACAAGUGUUUCUGCUUGUUUGUUUUCUGCUUUUUUGGUGGAAGAUGAAUUUGAGCGGGAAUGAAGGUUUUGGGCUAGUAGCUCAGUUGGUUAGAGCACACGCUUGAUAAGCGUGGGGUCGGAGGUUCAAGUCCUCCCUGGCCCACCACUGGCCGGUUGCGAAAGCAACGACUCUGGUUUUACGGGGGCAUAGCUCAGCUGGGAGAGCACCUGCUUUGCAAGCAGGGGGUCGUCGGUUCGAUCCCGUCUGCCUCCACCAAAACCGGCUUUUGGUGUUAAACACAAGAUCCUUGUCGCAAGGGAGUGUAGAGAUCGGACACGUGUUUAGGUGACUGCGGUGCAGCGCCUUUACGGGUUUGUCUGGUGAUUUGAUCUUUGUCAGUGUGAAUCGGUUGGUGCGUAUCUGUGCGUGCCGUUUUUCUGUGGGUUGGUCUGACCCUCGGAUCCUGAUGGUGGCUUCGGUUACUAUUUGGGGUUCGUGUUAAGCAGAAGCGGCGUUAGCGACCAGAUACGUUUUAAGAUGAAGUAUGACGUGCUCGGAUGCGUC
RNAcentral lists this transfer RNA (711 nucleotides) under Acetobacter pasteurianus. RNAcentral describes it as "16S-23S ribosomal RNA intergenic spacer". The stretch from base 236 to 309 matches the Rfam family "tRNA". The record is from RNAcentral. Lineage: Bacteria; Pseudomonadati; Pseudomonadota; Alphaproteobacteria; Acetobacterales; Acetobacteraceae.